RNAcentral lists this ribosomal RNA (514 nucleotides) under Liquorilactobacillus mali. Its description in RNAcentral is "bacterial SSU rRNA". It matches the Rfam family "Bacterial small subunit ribosomal RNA", at positions 32 to 503 of the family's 1533-position model. The record is from RNAcentral. Lineage: Bacteria; Bacillati; Bacillota; Bacilli; Lactobacillales; Lactobacillaceae.
AACGCUGGCGGCGUGCCUAAUACAUGCAAGUCGAACGCAAAACUUUCAUUGAUUGACGGUGCUUGCACCUGAUUGACGAGACAUUGAAGUGAGUGGCGAACGGGUGAGUAACACGUGGGUAACCUGCCCCAAAGUGGGGGAUAACACUUGGAAACAGGUGCUAAUACCGCAUAACAACGAAGAUCGCAUGGUCUUCAUUUAAAAGAUGGUUUAAGCUAUCGCUUCUGGAUGGACCCGCGGUGCAUUAGCUAGUUGGUAAGGUAAAGGCUUACCAAGGCAAUGAUGCAUAGCCGAACUGAGAGGCUGAUCGGCCACAUUGGGACUGAGACACGGCCCAAACUCCUACGGGAGGCAGCAGUAGGGAAUCUUCCACAAUGGACGAAAGUCUGAUGGAGCAACGCCGCGUGAGUGAAGAAGGUUUUCGGAUCGUAAAGCUCUGUUGUUGAAGAAGAACGUGUAUGAGAGUAACUGUUCAUAUAGUGACGGUAUUUAACCAGAAAGCCACGGCUAACUA